Molecule: long non-coding RNA, 367 nt
Filed under: Struthio camelus australis
Lineage: Eukaryota; Metazoa; Chordata; Aves; Struthioniformes; Struthionidae
Description: lncRNA (ENSSCUG00000016517.1)
Source: RNAcentral
CUUUUCUUUAAAUGCCUUGAGGAGAGACAGUCUGUUUCAGCUGUGUGGGAGAGUGAGGUGCAAGACUGUGAAGUGCAGUGACCUAAAAAGGUUACAGGAGGGAAGGACUGUCCUUCAGUGCUUCUAGUCUGGAACCAGUGGCAAACAUUGACUUUGCUAACUUUCCUGCUAUUGAUGAAAAAUCAUCCAGCAUCAAUACUGGUGGGAUAAGGACUCCAACAGGAAGAAGGGCUCAGAGACCGUUGAGAGUUUCUGAAAACAUGAAGGCUGCACGGGAGGAAUUUCUUGCUUCCAGAAAUGCUGUUUCUCUCACAAGCUGUAGCAUGGCAGGUGCGACAGGGGUAGGACUGAAAUGAAAUCCCGAGGG